ACACACACUGCUCUUUUUUCCCCUUUUUUCCCCCUUUUCUUUCUUCUUUUUUUUUUUUUUUUUUUUUUUUACAUAACACCAUUUUAAUGAAAAUGCUGUUUUUCUAAAAUGAAUGUGACUGUUAGAGAGGAUCUGAAUGAUGCUUAUGUAACCUCAAACCCUGAGUCUGGGUAGAUUCUAAUUCAUUAAAGGAAAGGAAGCCGGGGGAGUUCUGACAUAUUUGCCUCCCACCUUUAAAACAAUGGGAUCUGUAAGGACUGUCUCAGCCGGUUGCUAAGGGACCUUGUUGGACUUUGACCCUGUGCUCCAGCUAGGCGGUUCCCUGCCAAGGCCUGCUCUCUUGUCCGUUGGAUGACACUUCUCUCCUGUUCAUUUCCUCUUCCAUAGAUAGUUUCUCCCCUGUAAUAUUUAUAAAGUACUUCCAUAUAUAUUAUUACCUGGCCUGUUUAAUUUUUCAUGUUAUGGUUAGCAGAAUAGAUAUGCUCAUCUUCGAGAGGAAGAAACAUGGUCUGGAAAGGGUUAAUCGAGAUUCAUCUGAGGUCCCAGCUGAUGAAGCAGCAGCAGCAGUGGGGAAACUGAGGCAGGCCUGUCAUGAUUUCGGGUCCUUCUACACACCUUCUCUAGGAACUCUCUGACGAUUUAAAAGGCCCCUGGAGGCUAGGAAUUGUGCUGUUCAUUAUUGGAUCUCGUGUCUCGUGUAUAACUAGACAGAAUGAGAGGACCUUGUCUGUUUGUCCAGCACAUGGUGACUCCGUGUCUCGGUGUCCUCUGUGCAGGGUACAGUGGCUCGUGCCCGAGACAACAGAGUUAAAUGCAUGUUGCAUCUCACCCUUGGGUGUGCACACAGUCAGAUACGUUCCCUUGCCUGUGCUCUCGUCUGCUUCUCUGGCUUUGGUGUCUUAAAGUCGGGCGUUGCCACACAGCUCAUGGUACCCUGAACUACAUCGAUCCUCCUGCCUCAGCCCCCUGAGUCCUGGGAUGACAGGAACUGUGAGAUGAGAACCUAGGCCCUCACACUUAGCUGCUGAGCCGUCUCCCCAGCCAUGGACGUCCCUGACUCUUCUGCUUCCAUCCCUGGAAUUCUGGGGUUCCAGAUGUGGUACCAACACAUCCAGUUUAUGUGGGGCUGGGGAUUACACAAACCCAGGGCUUUGGGCAUGUGAGGGAAACAGUCUCCCAGCUGGCCCACAUUCUAGUCCUGUCUUUGUUAUUAUUUUAUUAAUGUAUUGUUUGGUUUUUGAGACAGAGUCUUACUGUAGCCUGACUGACCUUAACCUCACAGAGAUCUGUUGAGGUUUGUUCUGUGGCUGUGUUGUAAUGCUGAGUUCUGUAUCGGAAGGUCUUCUUGCCUAUCAGUAAAUUCUCGCAUUUACCAGC
Molecule: long non-coding RNA, 1377 nt
Organism: Mus musculus (house mouse)
Lineage: Eukaryota; Metazoa; Chordata; Mammalia; Rodentia; Muridae
Product: predicted gene, 40798
Exons: 2
Source: RefSeq, a predicted model, not a curated record